This 398-nucleotide ribosomal RNA is filed under the name uncultured Alphaproteobacteria bacterium. Its description in RNAcentral is "bacterial SSU rRNA". It matches the Rfam family "Bacterial small subunit ribosomal RNA", at positions 9 to 426 of the family's 1533-position model. Lineage: Bacteria; Pseudomonadati; Pseudomonadota; Alphaproteobacteria. The record is from RNAcentral.
GAGUUUGAUCUUGGCUCAGAACGAACGCUGGCGGCAUGCCUAACACAUGCAAGUCGAACGGGAUCCAGGCUUCGGCCUGGUGAGAGUGGCGGACGGGUGGGUAACGCGUGGGAACCUGCCCAAUGGUCUGGGAUAACCGCGGGAAACUGCGGCUAAUACCGGAUAAGCCCGAGAGGGGAAAGAUUUAUCGCCGACGGAGGGGCCCGCGUCCGAUUAGGUAGUUGGUGAGGUAACGGCUCACCAAGCCUACGAUCGGUAGCUGGUCUGAGAGGAUGAUCAGCCACACUGGGACUGAGAUACGGCCCAGACUCCUACGGGAGGCAGCAGUGGGGAAUAUUGGACAAUGGGCGCAAGCCUGAUCCAGCCAUGCCGCGUGUGUGAAGAAGGCCUUCGGUUGU